RNAcentral lists this ribosomal RNA (484 nucleotides) under uncultured bacterium. RNAcentral describes it as "bacterial SSU rRNA". It matches the Rfam family "Bacterial small subunit ribosomal RNA", at positions 46 to 518 of the family's 1533-position model. The record is from RNAcentral.
GACUAACACAGGCAAGGACAAGAACAUGAGAGCUGAGUGCAAGUUAGUGGCGGACGGGUGAGUAACGCGUGGGCAACCUACCCAUAAGAGGGGGGAUAACAGCUGGAAACGGCUGCUAAUACCGCAUAAGCUUUUUAGGACGUAUGUUUUAGAAAGUAAAGGAGGCGCAAGCUUCCGCUUAUGGAUGGGCCCGCGUCUGAUUAGCUAGUUGGUAGGGUAGAGGCCUACCAAGGCAACGAUCAGUAGCCGGCCUGAGAGGGUGGACGGCCACACUGGGACUGAGAACGGCCCAGACUCCUACGGGAGGCAGCAGUGGGGAAUAUUGCGCAAUGGGGGAAACCCUGACGCAGCGACGCCGCGUGAGCGAAGAAGGCCUUCGGGUUGUAAAGCUCUGUUGUAAGGGACGAAUGUCUAGGGUAGUAACUGACCUUAGAAUGACGGUACCUUACCAGCAAGCCCCGGCUAACUACGUGCCAGCCGCCGC